UACGUAGGGUGCAAGCGUUGUCCGGAAUUAUUGGGCGUAAAGAGCUCGUAGGCGGUCUGUCGCGUCGGAUGUGAAAAUCCAGGGCUCAACCCUGGACCUGCAUUCGAUACGGGCAGACUAGAGUUCGGCAGGGGAGACUGGAAUUCCUGGUGUAGCGGUGAAAUGCGCAGAUAUCAGGAGGAACACCGGUGGCGAAGGCGGGACUCUGGGCCGAUACUGACGCUGAGGAGCGAAAGCGUGGGGAGCAAACAGG
Molecule: ribosomal RNA, 253 nt
Filed under: uncultured bacterium
Lineage: Bacteria
Description: partial 16S ribosomal RNA
Rfam family: Bacterial small subunit ribosomal RNA
Source: RNAcentral